Molecule: long non-coding RNA, 5558 nt
Organism: Gorilla gorilla gorilla (western lowland gorilla)
Lineage: Eukaryota; Metazoa; Chordata; Mammalia; Primates; Hominidae
Exons: 3
Source: RefSeq, a predicted model, not a curated record
UUUAAGUCAUUAGCUACAAUGAUCAUUUAUUUUUAAUAUGUUUAAAAUAGAACAAUCAAGAAUUUUAGCUAUAUUAAUUAAUAUACUCACAUUAGCCUCUGCUAUGCAAAAUUGAUUUAAAUCACUAUUUCUGUGAAACAGUAAGAUAAACUAAGGAAAAAUUUUAUAAUAAAGAACAGAGAGUUCUGAUCUAUAAGAUUUCCCUUCCGAACUUGAAGUCUGCAAACUACAGCCCACAGACCAAAUCUGGCCAGCCCCUGCCCUUUUAGUGGCCAGUAAGCUAAGAAUGGUUUUUAUAUAUUUAAAUGGUUACAAUUGAAACGAUUAUAAUAAGCACCGACGUGAUACUCUGAAAUUUGCCUUCUGGCCCACAAAGCCUACAACAUUUUCUGUAUAGCCCCUCAGGACAAACUUUGCUAGAUCUUGCUCUGAACUUAAAAAAUUUAAAUAAACAUAUAAUAGAACAUUUUAGAAAUGAAUUACAUAGAAGUCAAAUAGCUAAAUUGUUUUUAAAUGAGCUUAAAACCUUUUAACUUCAAAUCUAUUCCAAAUUUCAAUACUCAUUUAUAAACCCAAUUGUCUUUGUAUUUGACUUGUACAAAAUGUACAUCAAAUUAGGUAAAUAAAGCCUCAUCAUUAUUAAAGGCAAGUGUUUCAUUAGUGUGACUUCCACUCCUCCAAGUUCCUUUUAUUUAAAAUUGUUGCUAUCACAGCAUAAGCUAAAAGUAUAUUAUCUAAAGCUCAAGAUGGUACAACAUAUUGAUGUCACUCAACACACCUGUAUUCCUAAAAUGUUCUCCUGUAGACGUCAAUUCAGAAUAUUUUCAUGCACCUUUAAAUAGAAAAACUAAAGCUAACCAUUACAAAUACAUUGUCUUAACAAUGAAGUCUGUGUACAUUUGAUUUGCCUAUAUGAUUCCUCUAAGGGUCCAAUGAAAUGGAAAUCUGUAUGAUUCUGCAUGACAUUAAAAGCACACAUAUCCUCAUUUUUAAGUAGGGAGUUCAUCUCUGUUUUGAGGUGGGCAUUCUGGUGAAAACUGAAAAACCUGCUACACAUAUUCUAAAAGAGCUGUAACACCAUGGAAGGGUUAAUUUAUUACUCAUUUGUGUAUCUAGACUUGAGCUCAGUGCAUAUCAUAUAAUAGAUGUUCAAAUGGCUGGUUAAUACUUUAUCAAUUACAAUGAAAAUGCUGACACCAUAUAGGACUUGAAUUUUAGGAGACACAUUAGUUCGCUUUGAACUUAGUAAAUUCCUCCUUAAAACUGCCAUAUUCAUUACUUUGUUCAUUCACAUUGUUGUAAGCCUACUUUUCCAGACACUCUUAGCUUCUGAAAAUUGUGAUGAAUAAGACAUACAAGUUUCCUACCCACACAGAAUUUACAGGAGUGGAGUUUGUGGAGGCAAGGCAGAAAUAAAGAAAUUUCAGAUACCAAAAACUGCUAUAUGAUAGACAGAAAUAGUAACAUUAAUUGGAUGGUGAGGGAAGUGCUCUCUAAAGAAUUACCACUUAAAUGGACACGUGAAAAACAGCAAGAGUUUCCAGGAAAAUGGAAUCUCAAAACCAAAGAGAAAAAAGUGAGAUUGUUCAAGUAAUGCUUGAGGCAUACUCAACAAGGCGGAAAGGAGUACAAAAUAAGGGUAAAGACAGGCAGAGGUCAGCUCAUAUGGGGCCUUCUAGCCCGUGAUAUAAAGGCUGGGUUUUAAUAAGUUUUAAUAAUUCAGAUGAAAUGCAGAUUAAUAAAAUAAGGCAUUUAAAGUAGUAUAAUUCUGUGGCAUUUAGUACAUUCACAAUGUUAUGUAACUACCACCUCACCUCUAUCUAGCUCCAAAACAUUUCAUCACAACAUAACUUUUAAGCAGUCACUCCCCAUUCUUCCUUUCCCUCAUCCCCUGGCAACCACUAAUCUGCUUUCUGUCCCUGUGGAUUUACCUAUUCUGGGCAUUUCAUAUAAAUGAAAUCCUAAAAUAUAUGACCUGUGUGUCUCAUUCUUUCACUUAGAAUGUUUUUGAGGUUCAUCCACAUUGUAGCAUGACUAUAUACUCCUUUCCUUUUAUAGCUGAAUAAUAUUACACUGUAUGGAUAUAUACCACAUUAUGUUUAUUCAUCAUCAGUUGACAGCUAUUUGGGUUGUUUCCACCUUUUGACUAUUGUGAAUAGUAUUGCUGUGAACAUUCUCAUCCAAGUGUUUGUUCAAUCUGUUUUCAAUUCUGCUAUAUUUUAGAUAUCUGUCCCUACCCCAAUCUCAUGUUGAAUUGUAAUACCCAGUGCUGGAGGUGGAGCCUGGUGGGAUUUGUCUGGGUCACGGGAGUGGAUCCCUCAUGGCUUGGUGCUGUCUUCACAAUAGCUGGAUUACGUUUAUUGAUUUGCAUAUGUUGAACCAGCCUUGCAUCCCACGGAUGACGCCCACUUGAAAAAGAGCCCGCAUUGCCAAGUCAAUCCUAAGCCAAAAGAACAAAGCUGGAGGCAUCACGCUACCUGACUUCAAACUAUACUACAAGGCUACAGUAACCAAAACAGCAUGGUACUGGUACCAAAACAGAGAUAUAGACCAAUGGAACAGAACAGAGCCCUCAGAAAUAAUGCCACAUAUCUACAACCAUCUGAUCUUUGACAAACCUGACAAAAAGAAGAAAUGGGGAAACGAUUCCCUAUUUAAUAAAUGGUGCUGGGAAAACUGGCUAGCCAUAUGUAGAAAGCUGAAACUGGAUCCCUUCCUUAUACCUUAUACAAAAAUUAAUUCAAGAUGGAUUAAAGACUUAAAUGUCAGACCUAAAACCAUAAAAACCCUAGAAGAAAACCUGGGUAAUACCAUUCAGGACAUAGGCAUGGGCAAGGACUGCAUGUCUAAAACACCAAAAGCAAUGGCAACAAAAGCCAAAAUUGACAAAUGGGAUCUAAUUAAACUAAAGAGCUUCUGUGCAGCAAAAGAAACUACCAUCAGAGUGAACAGGCAACCUACAGAAUGGGAGAAGAUUUUUGCAAUCUACUCAUCUGACAAAGGGCUAAUAUCCAGAAUCUACAAUGAACUCAAACAAAUCUACAAGAAAAAACAACCCCAUCAAAAAGUGGGCAAAGGAUAUGAACAGACCCUUCUCAAAAGAAGACAUUUAUGCAGCCAAAAGACACAUGAAAAAAUGCUCAUCACUGGCCAUCAGAGAAAUGCAAAUCAAAACCACAAUGAGAUACCAUCUCACAUCAGUUAGAAUGGCGAUCAUUAAAAAGUCAGGAAACAAUAGGUACUGGACAGGAUGUGGAGAAAUAGGAACACUUUUACACUGUUGGUGGGACUGUAAACUAAUUCAACCAUUAUGGAAGUCAGUGUGGCGAUUCCUCAGGGAUCUAGAACUAGAAAUACCAUUUGACCCAGUAAUACCAUUAUUGGGUAUAUACACAAAGGAUUAUAAAUCAUGCUGCUAUAAAGACACAUGCACACAUAUGUUUAUUGUGGCACUAUUCACAAUAGCAAAGACUUGGAACCAACCCAAAUGUCCAACAAUGAUAGACUGGAUUAAGAAAAUGUGGCACAUAUACACCAUGGAAUACUAUGCAGCCAUAAAAAAUGAUGAGUUCAUGUCCUUUGUAGGGACAUGGAUGAAGCUGGAAACCAUCAUUCUGAGCAAACUAUCACAAGGACAAAAAACCAAACACCGCAUGUUCUCACUCAUAGGUGGGAAUUGAACAAUGAGAACACAUGGGCACAGGAAGGGGAACAUCACACACCAGGGCCUGUUGUAGGGUAGGGGAAGGGGGAGGGGUAGCAUUAGGAGAUAUACCUAAUGUUAAAUGAUGAGUUAAUGGGUGCAGCACACCAACAUAGCACAUGUAUACAUAUGUAACUAACCUGCACAAUGUGUACAUGUACCCUAAAACUUAAAGUAUAAUAAUAAAAAAAAAGAUAAGGGAAAGCUUGCAGCUUCUUAGAGAUUGGUUAAGUGGUUGUGACCACAAUGCUGAUAGUGAUAUGGACAGUGAAGUCUCAGUUGAAGAGGUCUCAGAUGGAAAUGAGGAACUUACAAGGAGCUGGAGCAAAGGUCACACAUUUUACACUGGAUGCAUUCUGUUCAUGCCUUAGGGAUCUGUGGAAGUUUGGGCUUGAGAAUGAUGACCUAAGGUAUCUGGUCGAAGAAAUUUCUAAGCAGCAAAGUGUUCAAGAAGUGGCGUGGCUGCUUCUAACAGCCUAUGCUCCCAUGUGGGAACAAAGAAAUGACUCAACAUUGGAAAUUAUAUUUAAACAGAAAAUGGAGAGUAAAAGUUUUGAAAAUUCGCAGCCUGGCUGUGUGGCAGAGAAAGAAAAAGCUAUUUUGGGAGAGGAAUUCAAGCAGGCUGUGGAGCAACCACUUACUAGAGAUACUGGCAUAACUAAAAGGGAACCAAGUGCUACUAUCAAGACAAUGGGGAAAAGGCCUCGAAGGCAUUUCAGAGAACUUUCAUUGCGGCCCCUACCACAAGGGGCCCAGAGGCCUAGGGUGGAAGAAUGGUUUGUAGGCCAGGCCCAGGGCCCAUAUCCUGUGCAGCCUCAGGACACUGCUCCUUACAUCCCUGACUCCAGCUCCAGCCUCAGCUCAAAGGGCCCCAGAUACUGCUUAUGCCACCACUCUGGAGAGCACAAGUCACCGUAAGCCUUGGUGGUUUCCACGUGGUGUUAAGCCUACAGGUGCUUACAGCUAUAAAUAUCCCUCCGAGCACUGCUUUCAACGGAUCACGUUUUGGUAUGUUGCAUUUUCAUUUGUCAAAGUAUUUUCUGAUUUCCCUGAUGAGUUGUCCCUUGACCCACUGGUUAAGAGUGUGUGUCACUGGAGAGUUUUAUGUAAGGGAGUGACAUGGUAUGAUUUAUGCUUUAGCAAGACAGUGUUGGCUACUAAGUGAAAAAAGUGUGGAAGGGAAAGUAUAAAUGCUGAAAAGCCAUUGUAAGAGGCCGUUGAAAUUGUCUGUGUGAGAAAUUAUACUGACAUUGUCACAGAGACAGUGCAAGUGGCAGAAAGUAUUCAGAUGUGGGUCAUAUUUUGGCAGUAAAAUCUAUAGGAAUUGUUGAUCAAUUUACUGUUUGGCUAAAAGGAAAAUAAUUCAGGAAUUACUGUUAGGUUUUGGUUUGAAUAGUUGGGUAGUUAAAAGUAACUUUAUUGAGAUAGGAAGACAAAGUUUACUUUUUCUUUGAUGAAGAGAAAGAAUGGUAAGGGAGACAAAUCAAGUUGUUUUGAGAGUUGAGAUUCUUAUUAGAAACGUCAAUACAGCAGUAUUUUAAUGUUCUGAUGUCCAAAGUGAAGGUCAGAACGUUUAUAAAUUUGAGAUCAUCAACACAGAAAUAGUUAUUAUAUGGGACUAGAUGAAAUUACUUAAGGUGAAAGUACUGACUGAGGAAAAGAAAGAGACUAGGAAUGAACCCAAGGAAAAGACACAGAAGAGUAGCAAAUAGAUGCCAGCAGAGGAUUUUAAGCAUGAAAUGCCACUGAGAGGCUAUGUUGCCAAAUCUAAUCUGUUUUUACUUAAAUGACUGUUGAUUUUCAUAAAAGUUUUGAUGAAAUAGUAGGGGCAGAGCUGCAUUGAGGGAAGGAAGGA